Molecule: long non-coding RNA, 1505 nt
Organism: Astatotilapia calliptera (eastern happy)
Lineage: Eukaryota; Metazoa; Chordata; Actinopteri; Cichliformes; Cichlidae
Source: Ensembl
AGCCUUUUAUGUUAAAAACAUUUUCUGUGCAUGUGCGCAGUUGCAUUCCUUAGUAUUGAGUAAUAUGCUAUUGCAUUAAUAAUGUCUUCAAUCCAUUCUAAAGGAAUAUACAUGUGUUCUCUAGUUUUUGCAACAGUUAAUAUUUUUGCAUGAACUUGGUGCAUGGCAUCAUCUCAGUAGUCCCUCAGUGCAGUGCUUUUUUUCUGAUGUAACCUCGACUCUCUCUCGCUCUCACUUAGUCGGACUCCCGUCUGACCACGUCCAAACGGUCACCACGUGGAAGUCUUAAGAUUGGCUCAGUCUCAUAUUUGGUAAAAGGGCAUAAAAAUGUCAGGGGGUGGGCUGUGUUGAGGGAAAAUGCAUGUCCUCUUGAAGACUAGCCUUCGAAGCCACCAAGCCUCCCCCAUAACUCCGUCUAUCUUCUUUAACCAGUUCCCAUCUGGCUCUGAGCCUGACAUCAGCAGAAAACAAUCUAAACAUAUGAGCCCUUAAAGAGCAAAUCAUAUGCUGUGAUUGAUAUAAGGGGGCACAACUUUUUUUUUUUUUUUACAUCUGACCUUUAUUAAGCUAAUAAAAUAACAAUAAUACCUCAUGAAGGGAUAUUUGUUAACAUGUCAAAAAAGAUUUUUUUUAAAAAUUCGAGGCUUUGCUCUUUAAAAAUUACCACCAUCUGUGCAUGUUUGUGAUGAAAUGAGAAUGAAGUCAUAUUUAUGAUAAUCAACAGCAGACAUUGAGCUGAAACAAUAGAGUGAAUACCCUAUUAUCUACUGAAGUAUAGAGCCAACACGGAUGACUACGUCAUAACAAGACUCACAGUAUACCAAGACUUUACAUUCAUCAUCUCAUGGCUGUGAGAAGCCAUACUAAACACUUAUUUAUGGGUGCUUAUUGCAACAUUUUUGUGACUUACAUAUUUGUCUAUAAUAAAAGCAUUCAAUGUCUGACGCAACAUUUGAAAGAAAUGCAUGUAUUGGUUAUUGAUAUAAUGUGAGAUGGCACACUUAUUGAGGUAAAUAAACCUUUAAAAAUAUGUGAUUUAGAAUUACACAUAUAGUCUUUGUCCAUUUGCAAUAUUACUUCCUGUGAUAUUAUCACAACUUUAACUUGUCCCAAUAUCCAGGACUGAGUAUGUGAUAUUUAAAUCACACCACGCGCUCACACACUCGCACACACGCAAAACACACUCAGGAUUUCUUUCAAGGUGCAUAUGAAUGUUAUUAAGGUUUAAAAACAGGCUGAACACACCUACAUUCCCAGAUGAGUAACAAAAACAAACAGCGGGCACUUUGCAGAUGCAAUGGCUGGCAUGGAGCCACACCAGUAUACUUAAAGUUUUCUUUUCUAGAGAGGCAAAAGGAUAAAAUGCAGGACGCUAAUGUACUGACAUCAUUUCUGAGUAAAGUGAGAAGUAGAAUAAAGCUGAAAGUUCAGGAAGAACGCAAGCUGUGAUCCUAAAAUCCUCCCUCCUCUGUCACUCUCUCGCUCACACACACACACACACACAC